AUUGGAAUUGUAGCUAAACCAUCUGCUGAAUUUGUUUCUGCUGUUUUGGGUACCUGGCUUAGUGGUGGAGUGGCAGUUCCUCUAGCACUUAGCUAUCCAGAGGCAGAGCUCUUACAUGUGAUGAAUGAUUCGGAUGUUUCUGUGCUCUUAAGCACUCAAGACCAUCAGGAAGUUAUGGAGAGUGUGGCUGUUAAAUCUUCCGCUCAUCUGUCUCUUAUCCCCACUGUUACCAGCAUUUCAUCAAAAACGGAUUUGCAAGACCAUCCAGGGAGUGGGGUUUCUGAUGUUCUUACUAAGUUGGUUGCAGAUAGUGAAGAUUCAAGAAUGGCUGAAGGGGAUGACCCUGCUUUGAUUUUAUAUACCAG
RNAcentral lists this unclassified non-coding RNA (365 nucleotides) under Hevea brasiliensis (rubber tree). The record is from RNAcentral. Lineage: Eukaryota; Viridiplantae; Streptophyta; Magnoliopsida; Malpighiales; Euphorbiaceae.